Molecule: ribosomal RNA, 478 nt
Filed under: uncultured bacterium
Lineage: Bacteria
Description: partial 16S ribosomal RNA
Rfam family: Bacterial small subunit ribosomal RNA
Source: RNAcentral
GAUGAACGCUGGCGGCGUGCUUAACACAUGCAAGUCGAACGAGAAAUGUAGACGGAAACCUUCGGGCGGAAGCCUUCAUUUCGAGUGGCGGACGGGUGAGUAACGCGUGGGUAACCUGCCUCAUACAGGGGGAUAACAGUUGGAAACGACUGUUAAUACCGCAUAAGACCACAGCAUCGCAUGAUGCGGGGGUAAAAACUCCGGUGGUAUGAGAUGGACCCGCGUUCGAUUAGCCAGUUGGCGGGGUAACGGCCCACCAAAGCGACGAUCGAUAGCCGAUCUGAGAGGAUGACCGGCCACAGUGGGACUGAGACACGGCCCAAACUCCUACGGGAGGCAGCAGUGGGGAAUAUUGCACAAUGGGGGAAACCCUGAUGCAGCGACGCCGCGUGAGUGAAGAAGUACUUCGGUAUGUAAAGCUCUAUCAGCAGGGAAGAAAAUGACGGUACCUGAGUAAGAAGCCCCGGCUAACUACGUG